GUCUCCUUGAAGAGAUAAGGAGUCUGGCCUGCCCACUGAAUUAUUAAAGGGCCGCGGUAUUUCUGACCGUGCGAAGGUAGCAUAAUCAUUAGUCUUUUAAUUGAAGGCUUGUAUGAAAGGUUGGACGAGAGAGAAGCUGUCUCAACUAGAGUUUUGAAGCUAACUUCUAAGUGAAAAGGCUUAGAUAAAUUGAAAAGACGAUAAGACCCUAUAAAUCUUAAUAUUAGCACAAACUAAAUUUUUAAUUUGUCUGUUAGUAGAAAUAUUAAAUUGGUAGUAUUUUGUUGGGGCGACAAAAAUAUAGGAUAAUUAACUGUUUUAUUUUCAACACAAUCAUUUUUGUCUAGUGAGAUCCUCUUUAGAGAUUAAAAGAUCAAGUUACUUUAGGGAUAACAGCGUUAUUUUCCUUGAGAGUUCAUAUCGAAAGGAAAGUUUGCGACCUCGAUGUUGAAUUAAAAUCUCUUUAUGGUGCAGCAGCUAUGAAAGAAAGUCUGUUCGACUUUUAAAAUUUU
This 512-nucleotide ribosomal RNA is filed under the name Dardanus setifer. Its description in RNAcentral is "partial 16S ribosomal RNA". It matches the Rfam family "Bacterial large subunit ribosomal RNA", at positions 1819 to 2597 of the family's 2925-position model. The record is from RNAcentral. Lineage: Eukaryota; Metazoa; Arthropoda; Malacostraca; Decapoda; Diogenidae.